This is a long non-coding RNA of Zea mays, 689 nucleotides long. RefSeq lists it as uncharacterized. NCBI's taxonomy places the organism in Eukaryota, Viridiplantae, Streptophyta, Magnoliopsida, Poales, Poaceae. The record is from RefSeq and is a predicted model, not a curated record. The transcript is spliced from 5 exons.
CCUCUCGAUUCGCCGGCGGCGCCACCAACCAGCAAGGAGGCACAACUUGAUGGCAAUGUAGUCACAGAUUUGCCAAGUGAUCCUAUAUUGCACAACAUGAGAACUCGAAGGGUUCAAGCUGCCAGCAUGGGCAUAUCAGAAUCAAGACAAAAGCAAGUCUACCUUAUUUCACUGAUAAACAAAGGCAGAGUUGUGGCCAAAGGGAAGUUAGUGACUACAGAUAGCCAAAGAUAAAUAUUAGGAGCAAAGCUUGGACCAGAAUAUUGUGGGGUUCUUGUUGAAGGCCUUGAAAAUAUUGAACUAGGCAAUAUUACAAAUGAGGAGGUACCUAGACCAUCUAAUCAGAUUCGUACACUAAUUGAUGCUAUUGGCUAUGUUAUUCCUUGGCCAAUUACACAUGUGAAGCAAGCUAGAAGCUCAUCUUGUACCCGCAACAAGUUGGUACCUGCAGCACGUGGACAAAGCUAGAUGGGAAGCCUAGUAUAAUUGCAAAGUGAAUCAAUUAGAUUCUAGUAGUUACUAAAAUUUUUAAGUGAUAUUUGUAUGAUAUUGCCACUUUGGCUUUGCUUCUUUGUGAACACAAUUGGCAGUUACUGAACAUGUUUGCUAUCGAGUUAGUUAGCUUCUUGAUAUUUUGCCAAGGCCAAAAGCAAUAUUAUUGAGGGUUUAUAAUUUGAUUUUUUAACAUU